GCCAGACUCCUACGGGAGGCAGCAGUGAGGAAUAUUGGUCAAUGGCCGUAAGGCUGAACCAGCCAAGUCGCGUGAAGGAAGAAGGAUCUAUGGUUUGUAAACUUCUUUUAUAGGGGAAUAAAGGUAUCCACGUGUGGAUAUUUGCAUGUACCCUAUGAAUAAGCAUCGGCUAACUCCGUGCCAGCAGCCGCGGUAAUACGGAGGAUGCGAGCGUUAUCCGGAUUUAUUGGGUUUAAAGGGUGCGUAGACGGGAAGGCAAGUUGGUUGUGAAAUCCCUCGGCUUAACUGAGGAACUGCAACCAAAACUAUCUUUCUUGAGUGCUGGAGAGGAAAGUGGAAUUCCUAGUGUAGCGGUGAAAUGCGUAGAUAUUAGGAGGAACACCAGUGGCGAAGGCGACUUUCUGGACAGUAACUGACGUUGAGGCACGAAAGUGUGGGGAGCAAACAGGAUUAGGUACCCGUGUA
This 465-nucleotide ribosomal RNA is filed under the name uncultured bacterium. RNAcentral's name for it is "partial 16S ribosomal RNA". It matches the Rfam family "Bacterial small subunit ribosomal RNA", at positions 330 to 792 of the family's 1533-position model. The record is from RNAcentral.